UGAGNCACGAAAGCGUGGGGAUCAAACAGGAUUAGAUACCCUGGUAGUCCACGCCGUAAACGAUGAAUGCUAGCUGUUAGCGAUAUACUGUUAGCGGCACAGAGAAAUCGUUAAGCAUUCCACCUGGGGAGUACGCCGGCAACGGUGAAACUCAAAGGAAUUGACGGGGGCCCGCACAAGCGGAGGAACAUGUGGUUUAAUUCGAUGAUACGCGAGGAACCUUACCUGGGCUUAAAUUGCAGUGGAAUAACGUGGAAACAUGUUAGCCUUCGGGCCGCUGUGAAGGUGCUGCAUGGUUGUCGUCAGCUCGUGCCGUGAGGUGUCGGCUUAAGUGCCAUAACGAGCGCAACCCUCAUCGAUAGUUACUAACAGGUUAAGCUGAGGACUCUAUCGAGACUGCCGACGUAAGUCGUGAGGAAGGUGGGGAUGACGUCAAAUCAGCACGGCCCUUACGUCCAGGGCUACACACGUGUUACAAUGGGGGGUACAAAGGGCAGCUACCUGGCGACAGGAUGCUAAUCUCUAAAACCUCUCUCAGUUCGGAUUGGAGUCUGCAACCCGACUCCAUGAAGCUGGAUUCGCUAGUAAUCGCGCAUCAGCCACGGCGCGGUGAAUACGUUCCCGGGCCUUGUACACACCGCCCGUCAAGCCAUGGGAGCCGGGGGGACCUGAAGUAUGCAACCGUAAGGAGCGUCCUAGGGUAAAACUGGUGACUGGGGCU
RNAcentral lists this ribosomal RNA (721 nucleotides) under uncultured prokaryote. Its description in RNAcentral is "bacterial SSU rRNA". It matches the Rfam family "Bacterial small subunit ribosomal RNA", at positions 747 to 1482 of the family's 1533-position model. The record is from RNAcentral.